This 400-nucleotide unclassified non-coding RNA is filed under the name fungal sp. RNAcentral's name for it is "partial internal transcribed spacer region". The stretch from base 1 to 46 matches the Rfam family "Eukaryotic small subunit ribosomal RNA", at positions 1786 to 1831 of the family's 1831-position model. The record is from RNAcentral. Lineage: Eukaryota; Fungi.
AAGUCGUAACAAGGUUUCCGUAGGUGAACCUGCGGAAGGAUCAUUAACACGUAUCCAAACGUUAAACCCCCCUGUGAACCUUCAGUCGUACUCGUACGUCCGUUAGAAAAAGCAGCAAUCCCUGGUAAAUCAUCGCCGAACAGUUUUCGAUUCAGGGACGUCCUGGCAUCCCCAAGCAGUUAGUGUCUGAAAGUGUCACUAACGUUAGUGUCUGAAAGUGUCACUAACAUGUGUAAGGAUGACGCAGUCACGAUCGUUGGAGGCCCACACGGCCGACGACCGGGUCACUGGGUGCAAGCCCCCUUAUCACACCCCUGCUCUAUCUAUGGUGAUCCUGCGGGAAGUCCUGCGGUCGAACGCCGAAACCGAACAACUGUUAACAAUGGAUAUCUUGGUUCUC